CUACGUGCCAGCAGCCGCGGUAAUACGUAUGUCGCAAGCGUUAUCCGGAAUUAUUGGGCAUAAAGGGCAUCUAGGCGGCCAGAUAAGUCUGGGGUGAAAACUUGCGGCUCAACCGCAAGCCUGCCCUGGAAACUAUGUGGCUAGAGUACUGGAGAGGUGGACGGAACUGCACGAGUAGAGGUGAAAUUCGUAGAUAUGUGCAGGAAUGCCGAUGAUGAAGAUAGUUCACUGGACGGUAACUGACGCUGAAGUGCGAAAGCUAGGGGAGCAAACAGGAUUAGAUACCCUGGUAGUCCUAGCUGUAAACGAUGAUUACUGGGUGUGGGCAUGAAGAGUGUCCGUGCCGAAGUUAAUGCGAUAAGUAAUCCGCCUGGGGAGUACGGCCGCAAGGCUGAAACUCAAAGGAAUUGACGGGGACCCGCACAAGCGGUGGAUGAUGUGGAUUAAUUCGAUGCAACGCGAAGAACCUUACCUGGUCUUGACAU
Molecule: ribosomal RNA, 485 nt
Filed under: uncultured bacterium
Lineage: Bacteria
Description: bacterial SSU rRNA
Rfam family: Bacterial small subunit ribosomal RNA
Source: RNAcentral